RNAcentral lists this ribosomal RNA (253 nucleotides) under uncultured bacterium. Its description in RNAcentral is "partial 16S ribosomal RNA". It matches the Rfam family "Bacterial small subunit ribosomal RNA", at positions 524 to 776 of the family's 1533-position model. The record is from RNAcentral.
UACGUAGGGGGCAAGCGUUGUCCGGAUUUAUUGGGCGUAAAGAGCGUGUAGGCGGCUUUGCAAGUCCGUUGUGAAAACUCGAGGCUCAACCUCGAGACGCCGAUGGAAACCAUGUGGCUAGAGUCCGGAAGAGGAGAGUGGAAUUCCUGGUGUAGCGGUGAAAUGCGCAGAUAUCGGGAAGAACACCUAUGGCGAAGGCAGCUCUCUGGGACGGUACUGACGCUGAGACGCGAAAGCGUGGGGAGCGAACAGG